This 71-nucleotide transfer RNA is filed under the name Carpodacus erythrinus (Common rosefinch). RNAcentral describes it as "tRNA-Gln". It matches the Rfam family "tRNA". From Rfam's summary of the family: Transfer RNA (tRNA) molecules are approximately 80 nucleotides in length. Their secondary structure includes four short double-helical elements and three loops (D, anti-codon, and T loops). Further hydrogen bonds mediate the characteristic L-shaped molecular structure. tRNAs have two regions of fundamental functional importance: the anti-codon, which is responsible for specific mRNA codon recognition, and the 3' end, to which the tRNAs corresponding amino acid is attached (by aminoacyl-tRNA synthetases). tRNAs cope with the degeneracy of the genetic code in two manners: having more than one tRNA (with a specific anti-codon) for a particular amino acid; and 'wobble' base-pairing, i.e. permitting non-standard base-pairing at the 3rd anti-codon position. RNAcentral also lists the same sequence under 1 other name. The record is from RNAcentral. Lineage: Eukaryota; Metazoa; Chordata; Aves; Passeriformes; Fringillidae.
UAGAAAGUAAUAUAAGGGGAGUAUGGAGGGUUUUGAUCCCUCUAGUGUAGGUUCGAUUCCUGCCUUUCUAA